GGUUGGUGACACAAAAUGGUUAACGCCCACUGGAUUUUUGUCUCUUUCAUUUGUAUGAGAUUACGUAAGAGAGAGAGCACUAUACUAACUUCUUUCCGCGAAUAAAGUAUAGUAUGCAACGCGAAAUUCAUUAUUGUCAGAUAUAAGACGUUACAGAUGGAAAAGGACAACCAUUAUUAUCGUAUAAAGAUCAAUAUAUCAUAAUCUUAAUGGACAAGAGUUAUUUGGUAUAAUCUUAGGACCAAAUUAUGGACAGGUUUCUAAAAAUUUUGUAGAAAUUAAUUUGUACUUCCCAAAUCGGUCAUAGGUAUGACUUUUUGAGAACUAUAUACUUUUUUCAAUAAUGUUUUCGACUAACUCGUAUAUUAAUCUCUUUUUUACAAAAAAGCAAGUCUAUUUUUGGCACAUUUGUCAUGUUAAAUAUUAUGUACCUACAAAAAUUAAUAUCAAAUGUAUUUACUUAAAUUGUAUGGAAGUGUCAAGAAAAUUAUGAGAUAAAUCUGUUUGAUCGGUGGCAUAUAAUGUCGGUAUGUAAUCGGCAUCACCCGAUAAGAAGCGUUAUAGUUAUACCAUAUAGUUCUUGCAUUUCACGAGUGUCCGUGGCUCAAGCUAAGUAAAGUAAAUAUGUAAUGUAAGUAUAGUAAAAGUUAUUAAUUAACUAUCACCACUAUAUCGUACAAAUAUAACAAUUCUGACCAUAAAAAAGAGUACAAUAUAGUACCUUAGAUAAAUGAUUUUGACUUUGACUUUGAAAUGUGUGCGUUAGCGAGCGCUUGCUCGCGACUGAUUGGUCAAUUGGCACGCACACAUACUUAAUGUGCUUGUACACAAAUCUCGCUCGUGAAAUGCAAGCACUAUAUACAUACAAUAUGUGCAUUAUUUGGUACACAACUACAUUCACAGUGCCAAAUGUAGCCAAAAAAGGACUUCUCAUUUGAAAAAAAUUAUAAUUAUAUCCUUUCAUAUGAUUUUUACUUUACCGUGUUGCUAUGAUAAAUAUCUGAAUGUGCCGAAAGUAAAUUUUAAAAGUACUGUGAUGUUAAACAUUUACUAUUGUAAUGUAUCUAUUCUGAACAUAUGUACAACUAUUCCUAAAAAAAGAUAAAAUUCUUUGAUAUUAUUUUUCUUUAAUUAUCUUUAAUACUUUAUGCGUGGUAACAUGCAAUGGGUUCUACAAUGUACUUUCAGAACGAAAGUGACUUUGAAAAUAAAGGUGAAGACAAACUACUGUGAUGUGGUGUGUCGUGUCGUGCGGCAGAAAGCUACCAGUGUCUUACAUUUUAUAUGAAAAUGUACACACUAGUGUGUGAAGGUGCUAUUGCACGCUGACGCUUCAGGAGCACUCCAAUUGCUCGAUCGCAACGUCAGAGUGAUGUGACUUGUGACCACUAAAACACACUAGUAUGUCAGCACCUUAAUUUAAUGUGAUUUCAAUCAAUAUAAAAAUAUACUCUCUAUACAAAUAAAAUAACACGAAGGUAACAUGAAAGUACUAAAGUUAAAUUAAUAAUAACGCGAAAUGCAACACUUGUUCGAAAAAUGUUAUCGAAUAGGUCCAUUUCGAAAACUUUUUCGUAUUAAUAAAUCUUCCUAUAUCGUUUUUAUAAGCAAGUUUCUACAUUGGUCACUUUCGUUCCGAAAUCGCUAAUAACGUAUGUACUUUUCUUUAAUAUAAUUAAUAUUAUAAACCCCGAAAUUUCGCCUAAUCUAUUUCUCUCAAGAUUCCAAAAGACAAUGAACAACCUUAUAAAACGGUUACGUAACCCUGUGACAGCCUUCUCGGCUUCAGAUUUUUGCCGAGAAUAGCCGAAUAUACCUAUAGCAAAAUCGAUUAAAUUGUAACUCGCUAUCGAGUUAUUCGGCAAUAAUUUUGCGAAUUAUUCCGAGUACGACAAUUUCUCGAGACUCUGGCCCCUAACAUUUAUUUCGUACACGCACUUAUUUUCGUUGUAGGAUAUCUGCAAAGACAUUAUCCUAAAAUAUUGGCCAAUUUUAUCGUUCACUCGACUAAAAGUACUUGAUAAGUACAUUUUAGGCCCUGCCUAUUAUGAUUUCUGCAUCUUAAUACCAUUUUACUUUCACUUGAUGCCUGAUAUCGUUGAUAUCUGUUGUCUUUGUAUUUUUUUUUUGUUAUGUAAUUGGCUUCAAAAUCAUGUUUUACUUGGUACCAAACUGGGCUCCUUUCAACUUUAAGAGACCAAAAAAGAAUAAAACCUUUUUGAUAAAAUCUUUUGAUGUCACCUAUAUCGGUUUAUAAACUUCAAAAGCAUUGGCACUUUUUUUAAUGACAUAAAACCGAACACAAUAACUAUCGUUUUUACCUUCCACAAUACAAUUGUAUCUUUAUAAUCAUAUUUAUUUAAACGUCAUCAAUGGAAAAAAAUAAAACAGUCCAACCUCUAAACUUCGUCAGUUAAUUGUUUCUAAUUCGAAACAUUGUUUUCAAGUCAUCAGAAUCAAAUCGAUUACCGAUUCGGUAAAAUAUAUCUAUGGAUACAAAUCAAGGGAUUUGCAAAUUCCAUUUCUUUAAUUAUUCACAAUGCUCAAGAUAAAUCGAUAAUAAUCAGCAAUGACAAAACAUUGAUUACUUUCGAUGCAAAACUUUACUGGUAGUGAUAUUAUCAAAUCUUUAAUCAUGUAUGUUAAUAAGUACCUAAGUAUAUAUUUUUUUAAAUCUCACAGAACUAUUCCCAACAAAUGCAUUAAUUAGGUACCCACAUGUAAAAACAAAAUAUCUUUGGAAAGUUUUGCAUUAAAAGCUUAAAUAUUCCAAUAGCUUCCAAACUUUUCAAAAUUUAUUACCUAGACUAUAUUUUGCGCUUAAAUAUAUCGAAUAACCUCAAAAAAUGUUCAAUGAAUAUGUGUACUGCACUUAAAUAAGUCAAUCCCCGCCCGAAAGGCGAAUCCCUGAAAUAAUUACAAAGAUGGCACUAAGAAAACCUCGAAA
Molecule: long non-coding RNA, 2947 nt
Organism: Maniola jurtina (meadow brown)
Lineage: Eukaryota; Metazoa; Arthropoda; Insecta; Lepidoptera; Nymphalidae
Exons: 2
Source: RefSeq, a predicted model, not a curated record